GAUGAACGCUGGCGGCGUGCCUAAUACAUGCAAGUCGAGCGAACAGACGAGGAGCUUGCUCCUCUGACGUUAGCGGCGGACGGGUGAGUACCACGUGGAUAACCUACCUAUAAUACUGGGAUAACUUCGGGAAACCGGAGCUAAUCCCGGAUAAUAUCUUGAACCGCAUUGUUCAAUAGUGAAAGACGGUUUUGCUGUCCCUUAUAGAUGGAUCCGCGCCGCAUUAGCUAGUUGGUAAGGUAACGGCUUACCAAGGCGACGAUGCGUAGCCGACCUGAGAGGGUGAUCGGCCACACUGGAACUGAGACACGGUACAGACUCCUACGGGAGGCAGCAGUAGGGAAGCUUCCGCAAUGGGCGAAAGCCUGACGGAGCAACGCCGCGUGAGUGAUGAAGGUCUGCGGAUCGUAAAACUCUGUUAUUAGGGAAGAACAAAUGUGUAAGUAACUAUGCACGGCUGGACGGUACCUAAUCAGAAAGCCACGGCUAACUACGUG
Molecule: ribosomal RNA, 497 nt
Filed under: uncultured bacterium
Lineage: Bacteria
Description: partial 16S ribosomal RNA
Rfam family: Bacterial small subunit ribosomal RNA
Source: RNAcentral